Molecule: long non-coding RNA, 1471 nt
Organism: Passer domesticus (house sparrow)
Lineage: Eukaryota; Metazoa; Chordata; Aves; Passeriformes; Passeridae
Exons: 3
Source: RefSeq, a predicted model, not a curated record
CACUGCUCUGAGCCUACAAAUUACCGCCCUCCACAGCGUUGUGGCUGACAAAAGGGGAGGUUCAAAGCAGACUAAUUUGUACAAUAUAUGGAAAGAAUAAAUGUGGGGACAGGCUGGAAGAGAAAAAGAAGUAACCUCAGACAAAUGCCUUAAGUAACUUUGAGCUGAAACAAAUGACUUGGCUUUGAGAAAGAAUGAAAAAUGUUUGCUAUAUUUUUUUUAAGUGAAAACAAACCAGAGGGCAUACUAAGCUCAAAAAAAAAAAAAAAAAAACCAAAACAACUCAGUUGAGCACAUUCACAUCUUGACUGGAUGAUACAUAGCACACCCUCAGCAAAAUGACCAUUUUCAUUAAAUCAAUAUGAAGGACAGUCCUUUUGCAUAUUAAAAACUGUUGGGCAAGCUGAAAUUAGAACAAAGCUGAUUAAAAGUAAAACUUUGUUGCGUUCAAUCUUUUCAUCCUUUUUAUCACUGUUUUGAUCAUUCUGUUCCUUGGUGUCUUGUUUCUAUUAAUGUGGGCAUAGGGUGUGCAACAGAAAAAAAGCAAAUAUAAUAAAAACCAGAUCAGCUGUCAUCACCUUAGUCUGUAAUCACUUAAAAAUAAUGAGGCUAGAUAGACUGAAAAAAAGUAGAGAUAACAAAUGGUAGGAUCUUUUUAAAAAUUCUAUUACAGGGGGAAAAAACUCAAACCUGUAAAAGAGAAGAGGUACAAAGGAUUGUAACCUGCAAGAUGUGAAUCUGCACUCUCUUGCUGAUGCAGCUCAAGUUUUGGCACAUGAAUCAUUUUAUGAUUGCGUAGGAGGCUUCCCAAACAAGAGCAGAUAGGUGUCCAUAACAAGAUGUAAUAGACCUGAAUCACCACUAUCUGUAGAUUGUGUGAAAUCUUUUUCAUAAGAAAUGAAUGAGACUUUUAUGUACGCCAGAUAAUAGUGAAUAGUUUGUAGCAGAACCACUGAAAGAUGCAAUAAAAAUCUCUCUAAUCUACUACUCAUGUCUUUGUACCCAUUAGAUCUCUGCCUAAAGGAUGGUCUAAAAUAUGGGUUAAUGCAUAAUUGUUUCAAUUUGGGAAUGAAGCCAUGCAUCAUCCUAUUUUAUUUACUGAAAAUACUAAUUUGAGGACAUAAAUUAUACUUAUUUUGCUCAAAACCUCUGUUGACUCUUUGAUGUAUUUGCAGAUUUGAUUUAUUACACUUGGCCAAACUUUCUUCAUCCCUGACUGCCGUGAACCUGUGAGCUGUCUCUGCGAGGACCAGAGAAGUCCGCUAAUAAGUUGUAAGGAACUGUCGGACAUCUGUGUAGGAAACCUUUGUGCCUACACCCUUUCCAUCCUUCAUCUGCUACGUGCAAGGCUUCCACGAUGUCCUGAUAGACCAACACAGGCACUUCCAUAGACUAAGGAAAGAGCACCAAGUGGUAACAAACUCAUGCUUGAAUUUCUGUUACCAAAGUAAAUGGCAAUCAAAUGAACUGA